RNAcentral lists this microRNA (20 nucleotides) under Corchorus capsularis. RNAcentral's name for it is "sRNA CCACVL1_24911". Lineage: Eukaryota; Viridiplantae; Streptophyta; Magnoliopsida; Malvales; Malvaceae. The record is from RNAcentral.
CUUUCCAACACCUCCCAUUC